CAGAGAAACAUGAAGUUUGUUUAAGUCCCACAGGCCAUUCCCAGCAUGAGAGGUGGGCAGCGCUCUGUUGCCGUGGUUGAUUUUUAAACUGAUAGUUCAGAGGUUCUCCAGUCACGUAGGCACAAAAGAAGCUGCUGGUAAAUGAGAAACUGCAGGAGACUAAACUUGGACAUCAAGUUGUUCCCAGCUCUGGAAACACCUGAUGCACAAAUAUAAAUGUAAAGAAAAAUUAAAUCUACUGAGAAAGAUGGAGCAGAAGAUACUGAAAAAAAUAGUGGAAUAGACUUACAGGUAACAAAGGAUCAUUUUCAUAUAUAUCUUAACAUGAUAAUUAAGUGGUAAAAGGGACUACUUUAACGCAUCUACCUGAGAAGGAAAUUCUGGACCAGUGGUAGAAAUCAGACAUUUCUGUACGUUGACUGAUUUCCCUAUGGGUUCUCCAGCUUGUCUGCAAAAAGAUGGCUCACAUCAUGUUCGAGAGUCACCAUUUGCUUAGUUCUUUCAUGGUAUUUAUUAUUAUUGUUUCCGAUAUGUACUGGAGAUAUUUCAUAAACCUACAUGAAAAAAGAUACAAUGGACAUCUGAAGAAAUCGAAGGUACUCAAUGAAAUUCUGAGAGAAGGAUGUACCCAAGUCCUGUGGUUCAAACACCACACACCAAAAUGCAGUGAACAGAAAGGGAAAUGUAGGAUGGAAGAAGUGAGAGACCAUGAGUGUAUCCACCACUCUGAAAGCUUCUCAGGGCUCACGGCUCAAGGGUGAAGAAUUAUUCACUGACUAGACAAAAGAAAACCAUGUGAUAUGUUAUACUUGGGGCUGGAGAGCAACACGAGUGCUGGUAUUGUUGCUGUAGAUAUUCCUUGAGGGGUCUUGAAGGAACUGGCUGAUGUGGUUGCCAGGACAUUCUCCAUCACAUCUGAAGAGUCGUGGCUGUCAGGGGAAGUUCCUUGUGACUGCAUGUAAAAAGGGACGUGUAAGAAAGAGGAAAGGAAGACCUGGAGAACUACAGACUGGUGAGAGUCACAUCUGGGCCUGGGAAGCUCAUGGAGCAGAUCCUCCUGGAAGAGAUGUUAAAUCAGGUGCAAGAUGAGGAGAUGAUCAAAGGCAGCCACCAUGGCUUCAAUAAGGAAAAUCAUGCCUCACCAAUCUAGUGGCCUUCUACAAUGAAGUGACAGCAUUGGUGGAUGAAGGACGGGUAACUGAUGUCACCUACCACUAUGGGUCCAUCCUGAGCUAGUACUUUUUAUUAUCUUUAUCAAUGACAUAGACAGUGGAAUUGAGGGCACUCUUAGCAGGUUUGCAGUUUGCAUCAAGCUGAGUAGACCCAUAAAACUCAACAAAGCCAAGUGCAAGGUGGUACACUAUGGUCAAGGGAAUCUCAGAUAUGCAUACAGGCUGGGUGAAGAAUGCACUGAGAGCACCACUGAAAGAAAGGAUUUGGGUGUUCUGUUAGAUGAAAAGCUUGAAACAAUCCAGCAGUGUGCACUUGCAGUUGUAGCCUGGAAGGCCAGUUGCAUCCUGGGCUGCAUUUCUAGAUAAAAUGAACAGACAUAAUAACCAGGAAUUUUCCUGAUCGCCUUUAGAUCUGUUAAAUACAGAGAAUUCUAUUAAUAGCACACAUUUUUACACCUGUGUAUACUAACAAUAUACAGUAGAAUGAGGGGCUUUGCUGCAGUAAACCCUUCUGAUAUCCAUUUUAGGCCAAUAUGACCCUCUCCCUUGCAAAUGUGGCUACAUUUAGCAGGACUCUGAGCUCAGGUCAAGAACGUGUCCUACAUCACCCACAGACUGGUUGUACUUGGGUGAUGGAGGAACCAUUACUGUUGGUUCCAAAGCACAAUUGAGUUAUACAAAAUUGAAAGUCAUCAUUGUUUCUGAAAUUGUUCAAGCAGUAAACCACAGCAUAUGGAAAUCAAGAGAGAAAAGGAACUAUAAAAGUCCAAAGCAUUAAACAGUGACAGAAAAUGAGCACAUGCAUUUUUAAAAGACUUCUUUACUACAUGUAAGCUGUAUACUUUGCUUAAGUCAUUAAAAGUAAAGCAUGUUUGGGCACAUAGAAAUGAAAAAUGCUUUUGGAAAGUGGUGUAGGAGACCAGGUGCAGUAUUUUCUUUCUGAUUUUAUAUGCCAAGAGUAGAGCAAUUCACUUCUAGAGGUGAAAUACUUUCAGAGCCUUGCUGUCCACAGUGCAAACUGAAAUCCCUUGGGCACCCCAUCAGGAGGGCAUUCAACAGCUCUAGGUAAAUGACCCAGUUACUGAUAAUGCACAAGGUACUGCAAGAAGAUGGUACACAUCUCUGAUCCAAACUGUUUGCAAAUCAGUGCAAGACAGACGCAGAGAAAAGGUGCAGAAAAUGAUAUACAAGCAAAGGAGUACAUGUGGAUAUGAAGAGCAAUGUGAACAAGUUGAAACAGCUUCUUUCAAGGAGCAAAGGGAAUACUGGCUGAUGAAAAAUGGGUGAUGUUCCUAUUUGCCACAGAGUAAGCCCACUGUUGCAGCAUUACAUUUCACAAACAUACACGUAGGUACUCAGAAUCAAUGUAACUGUGAGGUUUGUGUCAAUAAAGUUGAAUAAAUGACUACUAUCCAGUCAUUUUAUACUA
This is a non-coding RNA of Coturnix japonica (Japanese quail), 2601 nucleotides long. Lineage: Eukaryota; Metazoa; Chordata; Aves; Galliformes; Phasianidae. The record is from RefSeq and is a predicted model, not a curated record.